RNAcentral lists this ribosomal RNA (253 nucleotides) under uncultured bacterium. Its description in RNAcentral is "partial 16S ribosomal RNA". It matches the Rfam family "Bacterial small subunit ribosomal RNA", at positions 524 to 776 of the family's 1533-position model. The record is from RNAcentral.
UACGGAGGAUCCAAGCGUUAUCCGGAUUUAUUGGGUUUAAAGGGUGCGUAGGCGGAUUGAUAAGUUAGAGGUGAAAUGUCCGAGCUCAACUCGGGAACUGCCUCUAAUACUGUUGAUCUAGAGAGUAGAUGCGGUAGGCGGAAUGUAUGGUGUAGCGGUGAAAUGCUUAGAGAUCAUACAGAACACCGAUUGCGAAGGCAGCUUACCAAUCUAUAUCUGACGUUGAGGCACGAAAGCGUGGGAAGCAAACAGG